Molecule: unclassified non-coding RNA, 167 nt
Filed under: uncultured Articulospora
Lineage: Eukaryota; Fungi; Ascomycota; Leotiomycetes; Helotiales; Helotiaceae
Description: sequence contains ITS1
Source: RNAcentral
CCGAAGUACAGGCCCCUUCGGGGGCUAAACUUCCACCCUUUGUUUAUCACACUUUGUUGCUUUGGCGAGACGCCCCUGGGCCACCGGCUUCGGCUGGUGAGCGCUCGCCGGAGAAAACCCAAACCCAAACCUUUUUUAGUGUUGUCUGAGAACUAUUUUAAUAAUUA